UUUUAUAAAUAAAAUAAUUAAGAUUAUUUAAUUAAAUAAAAUUAAGAUUAUAUUAUUUAUUUUGUUGGGGUGACAGAAAAAUAUAUUUAACUUUUUUUUUAUUUAAAACAUUUAUAAGUGGUUAAAUGAUCCAAUAUUAUUGAUUAUAAGAAAAAAUUACCUUAGGGAUAACAGCGUAAUUUUUUUUUUUAGUUCAAAUAAGAAAAAGAGUUUGCGACCUCGAUGUUGGAUUAAGAUAAAAUUUAAAUGCAGAAG
This 255-nucleotide ribosomal RNA is filed under the name Poeonoma serrata. RNAcentral's name for it is "partial 16S large subunit ribosomal RNA". The record is from RNAcentral. Lineage: Eukaryota; Metazoa; Arthropoda; Insecta; Lepidoptera; Noctuidae.